RNAcentral lists this ribosomal RNA (773 nucleotides) under uncultured Neocallimastigales. RNAcentral describes it as "partial large subunit ribosomal RNA". It matches the Rfam family "Eukaryotic large subunit ribosomal RNA", at positions 23 to 647 of the family's 3401-position model. The record is from RNAcentral. Lineage: Eukaryota; Fungi; Neocallimastigomycota; Neocallimastigomycetes; Neocallimastigales.
AGAGAGAGACAUGCGCGCAUAUCAAUAAGCGGAGGAAAAGAAACUAACAAGGAUUCCCCUAGUAACGGCGAGUGAAGCGGGAAGAGCUCAAAUUUGAAAUCUUAAAGGGUUUCCCUUUACGAAUUGUAGUUUAAAGAAGUGUUUUCUGUUGAGGUUUUGGUAAAAGUUCUUUGGAAUAGGACAUCAUAGAGGGUGAGAAUCCCGUAUUUGACCUUUACUUUCAACUUUGUGAUACACUUUCAAAGAGUCGGAUUGUUUGGGAAUGCAGUCCAAAAUGGGUGGUAAAUUUCAUCUAAAGCUAAAUAUUGGCGAGAGACCGAUAGCGAACAAGUACCGUGAGGGAAAGAUGAAAAGAACUUUGAAAAGAGAGUUAAACAGUACGUGAAAUUGUCAAAAGGGAAGCGUUUGACACCAGUGUUGUUUUUCUGAAAAUCAAUUAAAGAACUGUUUAUGCUAAGCUGUUUAGACUUUAUCAGCUAUCUGUUUAGUUUUGAGCUUUUCUUUAAUGCACUUUUCAGUUAACAAGUCAACAUCAAUUUCUUUUGCUGUAAAAAAGCUUGAGGAAGGUGGCUUGAGAUUCGUCUUAAGUGUUUAUAGCCUCUUGCCUAUGCAGUCGGAGAGAUUGAGGUCUGCAGCGUAGAUCCUUCGGGGCUAAAUGCAUUUGUGCUAAGUUAUAGCAUUUUAUAGACAACUUGUUGACUAUGAUUUGUCUUGUAGCUUACUCGCUUAUGUUAUUUACCUACGCUUAGGAUGUUGACGCAUGAGAUAUACGC